UACGUAGGGGGCAAGCGUUAUCCGGAUUUACUGGGUGUAAAGGGAGCGUAGACGGCGAAGCAAGUCUGAAGUGAAAACCCAGGGCUCAACCCUGGGACUGCUUUGGAAACUGUUUUGCUAGAGUGUCGGAGAGGUAAGUGGAAUUCCUAGUGUAGCGGUGAAAUGCGUAGAUAUUAGGAGGAACACCAGCGGCGAAGGCGGCUUACUGGACGAUAACUGACGUUGAGGCUCGAAAGCGUGGGGAGCAAACAGG
This 253-nucleotide ribosomal RNA is filed under the name Enterocloster bolteae. RNAcentral's name for it is "partial 16S ribosomal RNA". It matches the Rfam family "Bacterial small subunit ribosomal RNA", at positions 524 to 776 of the family's 1533-position model. Lineage: Bacteria; Bacillati; Bacillota; Clostridia; Lachnospirales; Lachnospiraceae. The record is from RNAcentral.